Molecule: transfer RNA, 71 nt
Filed under: Marmota monax (woodchuck)
Lineage: Eukaryota; Metazoa; Chordata; Mammalia; Rodentia; Sciuridae
Description: tRNA.Val
Source: RNAcentral
GGGGCUGUGGUUCAGUGGGAGAGCGCUUGCCUCACACAUGUAAGGGCCUGAGUUCGAUCCUCAGCACCACA